GUAGCCCUAUUUACAUUGGUUUAAUUCCUUUCUUUAUCA
RNAcentral lists this transfer RNA (39 nucleotides) under Anolis lineatopus. RNAcentral describes it as "partial tRNA-Tyr". Lineage: Eukaryota; Metazoa; Chordata; Lepidosauria; Squamata; Anolidae. The record is from RNAcentral.